This 455-nucleotide ribosomal RNA is filed under the name Bacillus licheniformis. Its description in RNAcentral is "bacterial SSU rRNA". It matches the Rfam family "Bacterial small subunit ribosomal RNA", at positions 40 to 487 of the family's 1533-position model. Lineage: Bacteria; Bacillati; Bacillota; Bacilli; Caryophanales; Bacillaceae. The record is from RNAcentral.
CGGCGUGCCUAAUACCUGCAAGUCGAGCGGACCGACGGGAGCUUGCUCCCUUAGGUCAGCGGCGGACGGGUGAGUAACACGUGGGUAACCUGCCUGUAAGACUGGGAUAACUCCGGGAAACCGGGGCUAAUACCGGAUGCUUGAUUGAACCGCAUGGUUCAAUCAUAAAAGGUGGCUUUUAGCUACCACUUACAGAUGGACCCGCGGCGCAUUAGCUAGUUGGUGAGGUAACGGCUCACCAAGGCGACGAUGCGUAGCCGACCUGAGAGGGUGAUCGGCCACACUGGGACUGAGACACGGCCCAGACUCCUACGGGAGGCAGCAGUAGGGAAUCUUCCGCAAUGGACGAAAGUCUGACGGAGCAACGCCGCGUGAGUGAUGAAGGUUUUCGGAUCGUAAAACUCUGUUGUUAGGGAAGAACAAGUACCGUUCGAAUAGGGCGGCACCUGACGACU